UUUGAUUGUGAUUGGGUAUUUUAAUUUGAUUUGGAUAGAAAUACUCGACAUUGGAUCGAGGUUUUAAAUUUGUGUUUUGAAUGAAGUGGAUUUUAUUUUAGUGUAUUGUUCUUCUACUCGAUAAAAAUCGAAUAGGUCUCAUUGUAAGAAAGCCCAAGAGUAAGCUAUGUGAGGUUGAUGGCGAUGCUUUAAAAGCGAUCGACUUACAAGGGUGUUUGAAAAUGGACUCGAUAUUAAAUCAAGAAUUGUGUGAUUUUAG
RNAcentral lists this long non-coding RNA (259 nucleotides) under Lathyrus oleraceus (garden pea). Its description in RNAcentral is "Pisum sativum (pea) long non-coding RNA (PSAT_LNC037337)". The record is from RNAcentral. Lineage: Eukaryota; Viridiplantae; Streptophyta; Magnoliopsida; Fabales; Fabaceae.